UUUGGUAAACUUCUUUUUAGUGUUUGGUUAACUUCGUUUUAGUGUUUGGUUAACUUCUUUCUAGUGUUUGGUAAACUUCUUUCUAGUGUUUGGUAAACUUCUUUUGUGUUUGAUAAACUUCCUUUUAGUGUUUUGUAAACUUCUUUUUAGUAUUUGGCAAACUUCUUUUUAGUGUUUGGUAAACUUCGUUUUAGUGUUUGGUUAACUUCUUUCUAGUGUUUUGUAAACUUCUUUUUCGUGUAGGGUAAACUUCUUUUUAGUGUUUUGUAAAUGUUUUCUUAGUGUUUUGUAAAGUUCUCUUUAGUGUUUGGUAAAUUUCUUUUUCGUGUUUGGUAAACUUCUUUUUAGUGUUUGGUAAACUUUUUAGUGUUUGGUAAACUUUUUAGUGUUUGGUAAACUUCUUUUUAGUGUUUGGUAAACUUCUUUCUAGUGUUUGGUAAACUUCUUUUUCGUAUUUUGUAAACUUCUUUUGUGUUUGGUAAACUUCUUUUUAGUGUUUGGUAAACUUCUUUUUAGUGUUUGGUAAACUUUUUAGUGUUUGGUAAACUUUUUAGUGUUUGGUAAACUUCUUUUUAGUGUUUGGUAAACUUCUUUUUAGUAUUUGGUAAACUUCUUUUUAGUGUUUGGUUAACUUCGUUUUAGUGUUUGGUUAACUUCUUUCUAGUGUUUGGUAAACUUCUUUCUAGUGUUUGGUAAACUUCUUUUGUGUUUGAUAAACUUCCUUUUAGUGUUUUGUAAACUUCUUUUUAGUAUUUGGCAAACUUCUUUUUAGUGUUUGGUAAACUUCGUUUUAGUGUUUGGUUAACUUCUUUCUAGUGUUUGGUAAACUUCUUUCUAGUGUUUGGUAAACUUCUUUUGUGUUUGGUAAACUUCUUUUUAGUGUUUGGUAAACUUCGUUUUAGUGCUUGGUUAACUUCUUUCUAGUGUUUGGUAAACUUCUUUCUAGUGUUUGGUAAACUUCUUUUGUGUUUGGUAAACUUCUUUUUAGUGUUUGGUAAACUUCUUUCUAGUGUUUGGUAAACUUCUUUUGUGUUUGGUAAACUUCUUUUUAGUGUUUGGUAAACUUCUUUCUAGUGUUUGGUAAACUUCUUUCUAGUGUUUGGUAGACUUCUUUCUAGUGUUUAGUAGACUUCUUUUUAGUGUUUGGUAAAUUUCUUUCUAGUGUUUGGUAAAUCUUUCUAGUGUUUGGUAAACUUCUUUCUAGUGUUUGGGAAACUUCUUUCUAGUGUUUGGUAGACUUCUUUGUAGUGUUUGGUAAACUUCUUUCUAGUGUUUGGUAAAAUUUUUAAUGUUUGGUAAACUUCUUUUUAGUGUUUGGUAAACUUCUUUUUAGUGUUUGGUAAAUGUUAGUGUUUAGUAAACUUCUUUUUAGUGUUUGGUAAACUUCUUUUUCGUGUUUUGUAAACUUCUUUCUAGUGUUUGGU
Molecule: long non-coding RNA, 1424 nt
Filed under: Mytilus galloprovincialis (Mediterranean mussel)
Lineage: Eukaryota; Metazoa; Mollusca; Bivalvia; Mytilida; Mytilidae
Source: RNAcentral